AGUAUGAUUACUGGCUUAUAUAUGACUGUGUUUAGUUUUGUAAGAAACUGCCAAACUGUCUCCCAAAGUAAUUUAUCAUUUUGUAUUCCCACCAGCAAU
RNAcentral lists this microRNA precursor (99 nucleotides) under Marmota monax (woodchuck). The record is from RNAcentral. Lineage: Eukaryota; Metazoa; Chordata; Mammalia; Rodentia; Sciuridae.